Molecule: ribosomal RNA, 576 nt
Filed under: uncultured Shewanella sp.
Lineage: Bacteria; Pseudomonadati; Pseudomonadota; Gammaproteobacteria; Alteromonadales; Shewanellaceae
Description: bacterial SSU rRNA
Rfam family: Bacterial small subunit ribosomal RNA
Source: RNAcentral
CCUACGGGAGGCAGCAGUGGGGAAUAUUGCACAAUGGGGGAAACCCUGAUGCAGCCAUGCCGCGUGUGUGAAGAAGGCCUUCGGGUUGUAAAGCACUUUCAGCGAGGAGGAAAGGGUGUAAGUUAAUACCUUACAUCUGUGACGUUACUCGCAGAAGAAGCACCGGCUAACUCCGUGCCAGCAGCCGCGGUAAUACGGAGGGUGCGAGCGUUAAUCGGAAUUACUGGGCGUAAAGCGUGCGCAGGCGGUUUGUUAAGCGAGAUGUGAAAGCCCCGGGCUCAACCUGGGAACCGCAUUUCGAACUGGCAAACUAGAGUCUUGUAGAGGGGGGUAGAAUUCCAGGUGUAGCGGUGAAAUGCGUAGAGAUCUGGAGGAAUACCGGUGGCGAAGGCGGCCCCCUGGACAAAGACUGACGCUCAGGCACGAAAGCGUGGGGAGCAAACAGGAUUAGAUACCCUGGUAGUCCACGCCGUAAACGAUGUCUACUCGGAGUUUGGUGUCUUGAACACUGGGCUCUCAAGCUAACGCAUUAAGUAGACCGCCUGGGGAGUACGGCCGCAAGGUUAAAACUCAAAG